UACGAAGGGAGCUAGCGUUGUUCGGAAUUACUGGGCGUAAAGCGCGCGUAGGCGGACUGAUCAGUCAGGGGUGAAAUCCCGGGGCUCAACCCCGGAACUGCCUUUGAUACUGUCAGUCUAGAGUCCGGAAGAGGUGAAUGGAACUCCUAGUGUAGAGGUGAAAUUCGUAGAUAUUAGUGAAGAACACCAGUGGCGAAGGCGAUUCACUGGUCCGGUACUGACGCUGAGGUGCGAAAGCGUGGGGAGCAAACAGG
Molecule: ribosomal RNA, 254 nt
Filed under: uncultured bacterium
Lineage: Bacteria
Description: partial 16S ribosomal RNA
Rfam family: Bacterial small subunit ribosomal RNA
Source: RNAcentral